RNAcentral lists this ribosomal RNA (404 nucleotides) under uncultured bacterium. RNAcentral's name for it is "partial 16S ribosomal RNA". It matches the Rfam family "Bacterial small subunit ribosomal RNA", at positions 30 to 526 of the family's 1533-position model. The record is from RNAcentral.
AUUGAACGCUGGCGGCAGGCCUAACACAUGAAAGUCGAGCGAGCGGCGGACGGGUGAGUAAUGCCUGGGAAUUGCACAGUCGAGGGGGAUAACAGUUGGAAACGAAUGCUAAAACCGCAUACGCACGGAUUGACCAGGUGGGAGUAGCUAGUUGGUGAGGUAAUGGCUCACCAAGGCGACGAUCCCUAGCUGGUAUGAGAGGCUGAUCAGCCACACUGGAACUGAGACACGGUCCAGACUCCUACGGGAGGCAGCAGUGGGGAAUAUUGCACAAUGGGCGAAACCCUGAUGCAGCCAUGCCGCGUGUGUUAAGACGGCCUUCGGGUUGUAAAGCACUUUCAGCGAGGAGGCGGUACUCGCAUAAGAAGCACCGGCUUACUCCGUGCCAGCAGCCGCGGUAAUUC